CCCUAUGCUGCCGAGAAAAGCCUCUAGCGAGCUGUACAGCCGCCCGUACCCCAAACCGACACAGGUGGUCAGGUAGAGAAUACCAAGGCGAUCGAGAGAACUGUGGUUAAGGAACUCGGCAAAAUACCCCCGUAACUUCGGGAGAAGGGGGGCCGAUUAGCGUGAUGGGACUUGCUCCCUGAGCGCCGGUUGGCCGCAGAGACCAGGCCCAAGCGACUGUUUACUAAAAACAUAGGUCCAUGCCAAGUCGCAAGACGAUGUAUAUGGACUGACGCCUGCCCGGUGCUGGAACGUUAAGGGGACGGGUUAGCGACUUCGGUCGCGAAGCUCAGAACUUAAGCGCCAGUAAACGGCGGUGGUAACUAUAACCAUCCUAAGGUAGCGAAAUUCCUUGUCGGGUAAGUUCCGACCUGCACGAAUGGCGUAACGACUUGGGCGCUGUCUCAACCACAGACUCGGCGAAAUUGCACUACGAGUAAAGAUGCUCGUUACGCGCGGCAGGACGGAAAGACCCCGGGACCUUUACUACAGCUUGGUAUUGGUGGUCGGUUCGAUUUGUGUAGGAUAGGUGGGAGACUGUGAAGCAUGGACGCCAGUUCAUGUGGAGUCAACGUUGAAAUACCACUCUGAUCGUGCUGGCUGUCUAACUUAGGUCCGUGAUCCGGAUCAAGGACAGUGCCUGGUGGGUAGUUUAACUGGGGCGGUUGCCUCCUAAAAUGUAACGGAGGCGCUCAAAGGUUCCCUCAAUCUGGUUGGCAAUCAGAUAUCGAGUGUGAAUGCACAAGGGAGCUUGACUGCGAGAGUGACGGCUCGAGCAGGGACGAAAGUCGGAAUUAGUGACCCGGCGCUGGCAAGUGGAAGCGGCGUCGCUCAACGGAUAAAAGGUACCCCGGGGAUAACAGGCUGAUCUUCCCCAAGAGUCCAUAUCGACGGGAUGGUUUGGCACCUCGAUGUCGGCUCGUCGCAUCCUGGGGCUGGAGUCGGUCCCAAGGGUUGGGCUGUUCGCCCAUUAAAGCGGCACGCGAGCUGGGUUUAGAACGUCGUGAGACAGUUCGGUCCCUAUCCGCCGCGCGCGUAGGAGUCUUGAGAAGGGCUGUCCCUACUACGAGAGGACCGGGAUGGACGAACCUCUGGUAUGCCAGUUGUUCCGCCAGGAGCAUGGCUGGUUAGCUACGUUCGGAAGUGAUAACCGCUGAAAGCAUCUAAGCGGGAAGCACGCUUCAAGAUGAGGGCUCCCACAGGGUUAACCUGGUAAGGCCCCCAGCUAGAUGACUGGGUUGAUAGGCCGGAGGUGGAAGCACAGCGAUGUGUGGAGCUGACCGGUACUAAUAGGCCGAGGACUUGACCC
This 1348-nucleotide ribosomal RNA is filed under the name metagenome. RNAcentral describes it as "bacterial LSU rRNA". It matches the Rfam family "Bacterial large subunit ribosomal RNA", at positions 1598 to 2925 of the family's 2925-position model. The record is from RNAcentral.